This is a long non-coding RNA of Salmo salar (Atlantic salmon), 441 nucleotides long. RefSeq lists it as uncharacterized. The record is from RefSeq and is a predicted model, not a curated record. NCBI's taxonomy places the organism in Eukaryota, Metazoa, Chordata, Actinopteri, Salmoniformes, Salmonidae.
UAGUUUUCAUGAGGACAGGUUCUCUCUAUAGAGACUGACCAUGAUACCCAAGAUUUGAUGUGCUCAGACAUGCCCUCACCCUGUCAUUAUGUGCUGUGUAAUUUCUGGUAAACAACUCUUAUCAGAAACAGGUAUGGAGGUUUCAAUUUCACGUCAUUAGAGAACUUGCUCCUGAACUGAGCAGGGUAGUUCAGUCCUCACAGAUCAGAAACAUCUCCCUCCUGACCAGAGUGACUGAGGAUGGAUCUUGUCAAGAGGAGCGUCAAGACGUCAUACUGCAGUGGGCUGAGGAACUGAAUCACUCACCACAGACUGGACAGGACAAUGACCCAACACACCUCAAGGCUGUGUAAGGGCUAUUUUACCAAGAAGGAGAGGGAUGUAGUGCUGCAUCAGAUGACCUAGCCUACACAAUCACCCGACCUCAACCAAAUUGAGAUG